CCUACGGGUGGCAGCAGUGAGGAAUAUUAGUCAAUGGCCGAGAGGCUGAACCAGCCAAGUCGCGUGAGGGAAGACGGCCCUACGGGUUGUAAACCUCUUUUGCCGGGGAGCAAGCCUGAGCACGUGUGCCCAGGCGGAGGGUACCCGGAGAAAAAGCAUCGGCUAACUCCGUGCCAGCAGCCGCGGUAAAACGGGGGAUGCGAGCGUUAUCCGGAUUUGUUGGGUUUAAAGGGUGCGCAGGGGGGCGGUUAGGCCGGCGGUAAAAAUUCAGGGCUCAACCCUGUCGAGCCGUCGGAACUGGCAGUCUUGAGUGGGCGAGAAGUAUGCGGAAUGCGUGGUGUAGCGGUGAAAUGCAUAGAUAUCACGCAGAACGCCGAGUGCGAAGGCAGCAUACCGGCGCCCAACUGACGCUGAGGCACGAAAGCGUGGGGAUCGAACAGGAUUAGAUACCCCGGUAGUC
RNAcentral lists this ribosomal RNA (460 nucleotides) under uncultured bacterium. RNAcentral's name for it is "partial 16S ribosomal RNA". It matches the Rfam family "Bacterial small subunit ribosomal RNA", at positions 338 to 795 of the family's 1533-position model. The record is from RNAcentral.